UCUUUUGUUGCAUUGUUUGUCUUUCAUUGCUUUGUUCUUUCAUUGCUUUGUUUGUGCAUUUUGUUCAAAUUUGUUCAACACGCCAAGAAUCUGGACAACUCACAGUCAAGACCUUCUUGCUGACAUAUUUUGGUGAGCCAGCCAGGAGAUGGGAGAGGCUGAGCAAGAUGGCCAAAUAGAAGCCUCCAUUGAUCAUCCCCCCUGCAGGAACACCAGAUUUAACAACCAUCUACAUAAAAAAGCACUUUCAUAAGAACCAAAACUCAGGAGAUUAAGAUACAGAUACAGCGAGGGAAGACCAUGUAAAGACACAGAGAGAAGAUAAACAUCUACAAGCCUCAGAUGCUUCAGAAGAAAUCAGCCCUGCAGACACCCUUGAUCUCCAGAACUGUAAUACAUUUCUGUUGUUAAAGCUGACCAGUCUGUGGUACUUGUUACAGCUCUAACAAGUGAGAAGGCAGCAGUUUUCAAGCGAAGAAGAGGACCCUUAUCAAGAACCAAAUCUGGUGCCACCUCGAUGUUGAAAUUCCAGUGUCCCAAUCUGUGAGAAAUAAAUGCCUUUUGUUUAAGUUGC
Molecule: long non-coding RNA, 574 nt
Organism: Macaca mulatta (Rhesus monkey)
Lineage: Eukaryota; Metazoa; Chordata; Mammalia; Primates; Cercopithecidae
Source: RefSeq, a predicted model, not a curated record